Molecule: ribosomal RNA, 253 nt
Filed under: uncultured bacterium
Lineage: Bacteria
Description: partial 16S ribosomal RNA
Rfam family: Bacterial small subunit ribosomal RNA
Source: RNAcentral
UACGUAGGGUGCAAGCGUUGUCCGGAAUUAUUGGGCGUAAAGAGCUCGUAGGCGGUUCGUCGCGUCGGCUGUGAAAACCCGGAGCUCAACUCCGGGCCUGCAGUCGAUACGGGCGGACUCGAGUUCGGCAGGGGAGACUGGAAUUCCUGGUGUAGCGGUGAAAUGCGCAGAUAUCAGGAGGAACACCGGUGGCGAAGGCGGGUCUCUGGGCCGAUACUGACGCUGAGACGCGAAAGCGUGGGGAGCGAACAGG